This 974-nucleotide long non-coding RNA is filed under the name Arabidopsis lyrata. RNAcentral's name for it is "long non-coding RNA (ALYR_LNC000316)". Lineage: Eukaryota; Viridiplantae; Streptophyta; Magnoliopsida; Brassicales; Brassicaceae. The record is from RNAcentral.
GAGUAUGGACAGAAGCUAGAAGUGUCAAUCAAGAACCAUUCAAGAAUUGAGCAACAAGUCAGAAGCCAAGCUCAAGAAAGGUUAAUUGAUGGCAGGGGGAGCUUCUUUAAAGAUCGCACACCAAAACAUUGUUAAGAGUCAUGGCAAAGAGAGAAGACUCAAGGCCAUAAGCAAGACUCUACCACCAUCCGUUGAAAAGGCUGUCCUCUAAACUCUAUCUAUUUUCAUUACCCUAGUUCCAUUCAUUGCCAUUAUUCUCUAAUAGGGUCUCUUAGCUUAUGACAUUGAAAACUUUUGAUAUUCCUCAUAGCACACACUUAAUCUUUCUUCUUUAUCUCUUAUUAAAAGGUGAAGGAGACUAUGAGAGCCUCAAAGAAGUUCAAAAUGUCAAAGAAGGAGUACAUAAAAGGAGAAAUGAAGGCAAGAAGGACAAGGAAAAUGGAUGUAACGUUUCAAGAAACGGAGAAAGGAAGCCAAUAUAUCAUCAAGGCUACAAGACCAAGUUCACCAAGUCUUGUAGGCCUCAAGUAUCCUUGAAAAGGCUUCCCCGCUUAUGUCAGUAAUACUCUUUUUCCCUAAUACCGGUUUUGUCCCACGUGGUUUUCCAAUCUUAGGUUUUUAAUGAGGUUACUCGCAUAAGUGUCAAGUCUAUACACAAUGAUCAUUGUUGUACAGACUUGAGGGGGAGUGUUAAUCAAGAAAGUGUUUAACACUAAUUAAUCCAUAAUUAGGUGUUAAACACAGUGACUUGUGCAGCAAGCAACGAGUUCGAAUUCAAAUUAAAGAGAAGAGAAGGAAGAGGAAAGCAACGGCUAGUUUGACCAAGGAGGAAGACCGUACGGACGCGCUAAGGAGUGGUCCUCGUCCUCUUGUGCGAGCUGUCCCAUUUUGUCCUAUUAGUGAGCUGUCUCUAGCUAGGGUAACUAAAGGUGUGUGUAAAAGGCUGAAUAAGGAUGCAAUGGUGUCUAUGUGCA